Molecule: ribosomal RNA, 159 nt
Filed under: Triticum aestivum (bread wheat)
Lineage: Eukaryota; Viridiplantae; Streptophyta; Magnoliopsida; Poales; Poaceae
Description: partial small subunit ribosomal RNA
Source: RNAcentral
GGCGGAGCAGGCGGACGCGCUGCCCUCCGGGUUCUACGACGCCUUCGUGCUCUGCGGCAUCCCCGUCCCGCCUCCUCGUCAGCCUCCCUCUUCCCUUCCCUGCUGAAUUCCUGCUCCAUGCUUGAACUCGGGCAACUUCCUGCACGGCGGCGCAACUGA